CCUACGGGAGGCAGCAGUGGGGGAUAUUGCACAAUGGGGGAAACCCUGAUGCAGCGACGCCGCGUGGGCGAAGAAGUAUUUCGGUAUGUAAAGCCCUAUCAGCAGGGAAGAAGAAAUGACGGUACCUGAGUAAGAAGCACCGGCUAAAUACGUGCCAGCAGCCGCGGUAAUACGUAUGGUGCAAGCGUUAUCCGGAUGUACUGGGUGGAAAGGGAGCGCAGGCGGCACGGCAAGCCUGAUGUGAAAGCCCGCGGCCCAACCGCGGGACUGCAUUGGGAACUACCGGGCUGGAGUGCCGGAGAGGUAGGCGGAAUUCCUAGUGUAGCGGUGAAAUGCGUAGAGAUUAGGAGGAACACCAGUGGCGAAGGCGGCCUACUGGACGGUGACUGACGCUGAGGCUCGAAAGCGUGGGGAGCAAACAGGAUUAGAUACCCGUGUAGUC
This 442-nucleotide ribosomal RNA is filed under the name uncultured bacterium. RNAcentral's name for it is "partial 16S ribosomal RNA". It matches the Rfam family "Bacterial small subunit ribosomal RNA", at positions 338 to 795 of the family's 1533-position model. The record is from RNAcentral.